UUAAGCUAAUAAGAGCGCAGGGAGGAUGCCUUGGCAUCAGGAGCCGAUGAAGGACGCGGUAAGCUGCGAAAAGCUCCGGGGAGUGGCAAGCACACUUUGAUCCGGAGAUAUCCGAAUGGAGCAAUCCACAUGAGUGAAGCUCAUGUAUCAUAUACUGAAUAAAUAGGUAUAUGAGGGGAACCGUCUGAACUGAAACAUCUAAGUAGGACGAGGAAAAGAAAUCAACCGAGAUUCCGCUAGUAGUGGCGAGCGAACGCGGAAGAGGCUAAACCAGAGUCAGCAAUGACUUUGGGGUUUGGACUGCAUUUAGUAUCAAUGAGGUCUAGUCGAAGUACAUGGGAAGGUACAUCGAAGAGGGUGAGAAUCCCGUAGACGAAAGAUCAAGUUGGCGAGCAGUAUCCAAAGUACCGCCGGACACGUGAAACCCGGUGGGAACACGGGGGGACCAUCCUCCAAGCCUAAAUACUACCUGAUGACCGAUAGCGCAUAGUACUGUGAAGGAAAGGUGAAAAGAACCCCGGGAGGGGAGUGAAAGAGAGCCUGAAACCCUGUGCUUACAAGCACACAGAGCACGUCAAAGUGUGAUGUGGUACCUAUUGUAGAAUGGUCCGGCGAGUUAUUUUAUGCAGCGAGGUUAAGGACUUAAGGUCUGUAGCCGAAGUGAAAGCGAGUGUUAAUAGCACGAAACAGUUGCAUGCAAUAGACCCGAAACCGGGUGACCUAUCCAUGUCCAGGCUGAAGUGAGGGUAAAACCUCAUGGAGGGCCGAACCGACUCCCGUUGAAAUGGUAGCGGAUGAGGUGUGGAUAGCGGAGAAAUUCCAAUCGAACCCGGAUAUAGCUGGUUCUCCCCGAAACCGUUUUAGGACGGGCCUCGUGUGAAGAUUAUCGGAGGUAAAGCACUGAAUAGCCUAGGGGGCGAGAGCCUACCGAAGCUUAUCAAACUCUGAAUGCCGAAUAAUCGUUUCACGGGAGUCAGACUGUGUGAGAUAAGUUUCAUAGUCAAAAGGGAAACAGCCCAGACCCACAGCUAAGGUCCCAAAGUGUAUUUAAGUGGAAAACGAUGUGAAGUUGCGUAGACAACCAGGAUGUUGGCUUAGAAGCAGCCACUCAUUAAAAGAGUGCGUAAUAGCUCACUGGUCGAGUGACUUUGCGCGGAAAAUUUAACGGGGCUAAAAUACACACCGAAGCUUGGGCUUGACGCAUUGCGUCAGGGGUAGGGGAGCGUCGUGUAAGGGGCGAAGUCGUAUCGUAAGGGACGGUGGACUUUACACGAGUGAGAAUGCCGGAAUGAGUAGCGAGAAUUAUGUGAGAAUCAUAAUGGUCGAAAGCCUAAGGUUUUUGGAGGAAGGUUCGUCCGCUCCAAGUAAGCCGGGAGCUAAGGUCAGGCGGAAACGCGUAGCCGAUGCACAUACGGUUGAAAUUCCGUAGCCUCAGAAAGAUUUAAGCAGAGGGACACUUUGAAAGGACUGUAGCCGGGUGUUGGUUACCCCGGUCGUAAGGGAACGAAAUUAAGUAGUGAAGGCAGUCUGGACGGAGGCGAGAAAAGCUCUGUGUAUAUCUAAUGAGCCCGUACCGCAAACCGACACAGGUAGGUGGGAUGAGAAUUCUAAGACCAACGGGAGAAGGGUAGUUAAGGAACUCGGCAAAUUGUCCCCGUAACUUCGGAAUAAGGGGAGCCUGCGAAAGCAGGCCGCAGAGAAUUGGCCCAGGCGACUGUUUAUCAAAAACACAGCUCUAUGCUAAAUCGAAAGAUGACGUAUAUGGGGUGACACCUGCCCGGUGCUGGAAGGUUAAGAGGAGAUGUGAGAGCAUCGAAUUGAAGCCCCAGUAAACGGCGGCCGUAACUAUAACGGUCCUAAGGUAGCGAAAUUCCUUGUCAGGUAAGUUCUGACCCGCACGAAUGGUGUAACGA
RNAcentral lists this ribosomal RNA (1913 nucleotides) under human gut metagenome. RNAcentral's name for it is "bacterial LSU rRNA". It matches the Rfam family "Bacterial large subunit ribosomal RNA", at positions 3 to 2007 of the family's 2925-position model. The record is from RNAcentral.